GACGAACGCUGGCGGCGUGCUUAACACAUGCAAGUCGAACGGUGAAGCUCCAUCUUGCUGGAGUGGAUCAGUGGCGAACGGAUGAGUAACACGUGAGCAACCUGCCCCUGACUCUGGAAUAAGCGCUGGAAACGGCGUCUAAUACUGGAUACGAGAAGGGUCCGCAUGGGCACUUUCUGGAGAGUUUUUCGGUUGGGGAUGGGCUCGCGGCCUAUCAGCUUGUUGGUGAGGUAAUGGCUCACCAAGGCGACGACGGGUAGCCGGCCUGAGAGGGCGACCGGCCACACUGGGACUGAGACACGGCCCAGACUCCUAAGGGAGGCAGCAGUGGGGAAUAUUGCACAAUGGGCGAAAGCCUGAUGCAGCGACGCCGCGUGAGGGAUGACGGCCUUCGGGUUGUAAACCUCUUUCAGCAGGGAAGAAGCGAAAGUGACGGUACCUGCAGAAGAAGCACCGGCUAACUACGUG
This 468-nucleotide ribosomal RNA is filed under the name uncultured bacterium. RNAcentral's name for it is "partial 16S ribosomal RNA". It matches the Rfam family "Bacterial small subunit ribosomal RNA", at positions 28 to 507 of the family's 1533-position model. The record is from RNAcentral.